This 194-nucleotide ribosomal RNA is filed under the name uncultured bacterium. Its description in RNAcentral is "partial 16S ribosomal RNA". It matches the Rfam family "Bacterial small subunit ribosomal RNA", at positions 335 to 526 of the family's 1533-position model. The record is from RNAcentral.
ACUCCUACGGGAGGCAGCGGUGGGGAAUAUUGGUCAAUGGGCGCAAGCCUGAACCAGCCAUGCCGCGUGCAGGAAGACGGUCCUAUGGAUUGUAAACUGCUUUUAUACAGGAAGAAACCCUCCCACGUGUGGGAGAUUGACGGUACUGUAGGAAUAAGGAUCGGCUAACUCCGUGCCAGCAGCCGCGGUAAUAC